UACAGAGGUCUCAACCGUUGUUCGGAUUCAUUGGGCGUAAAGGGUGCGUAGGCGGUCGCGCAAGUCGGAUGUGAAAUCUUAGGGCUCAACCCUGAAACUGCAUUCGAUACUGCGUGGCUCGAGUACUGGAGAGGAGACUGGAAUUUACGGUGUAGCAGUGAAAUGCGUAGAUAUCGUAAGGAAGACCAGUGGCGAAGGCGAGUCUCUGGACAGUUACUGACGCUGAGGCACGAAGGCCAGGGGAGCAAACGGG
This 253-nucleotide ribosomal RNA is filed under the name uncultured bacterium. Its description in RNAcentral is "partial 16S ribosomal RNA". It matches the Rfam family "Bacterial small subunit ribosomal RNA", at positions 524 to 776 of the family's 1533-position model. The record is from RNAcentral.